Molecule: long non-coding RNA, 429 nt
Filed under: Mytilus galloprovincialis (Mediterranean mussel)
Lineage: Eukaryota; Metazoa; Mollusca; Bivalvia; Mytilida; Mytilidae
Source: RNAcentral
CAAUGAUAAAGGCUGUGGAUUUCUAUAAAAUUUCCAUAUGUUUAGCAUUGAAUCAACACAAGGGUACAUAAUCCUUAAGCAAAUCUAAAAUAGCUUUAUGUAAAAAAAAGUCUUAUUUAAAAAAAAAAAAAAAAAAAUUAUUUUUCAAAAAUAUAAAAGUUGUAAAAAAUGAAUGUUAUAACCUUCAUUGAUUAUAUUAUAAACAAAAUCUGCAGUACACAUCUUAACUCAAAAAUUUAACUAAGUACUUAAUCUGUCCUAUAUAUGUCAGAAACAUAUUUCUCAUAUUCAAAAUAUAAAGUGUCAAUAUCAAAUUGUUCAUGUACCUCAAACAUUUCUUGAUUAUUAAAUUUUAGAAUGAGGUGUUCUGUGUACUCGGUUAUUGGUUUGUCUGCGACAUUAUCUCGCCCAAUCCCUAUAGAAUUCACA